CCUACGGGAGGCAGCAGUGGGGGAUAUUGGACAAUGGGGGGAACCCUGAUCCAGCGACGCCGCGUGAGUGAAGAAGUAUUUCGGUAUGUAAAGCUCUGUCAGCAGGGAAGAAAGAAAUGACGGUACCUGACCAAGAAGCCCCGGCUAACUACGUGCCAGCAGCCGCGGUAAUACGUAGGGGGCAAGCGUUAUCCGGAAUUACUGGGUGUAAAGGGAGCGUAGACGGUUAAGUAAGUCUGGAGUGAAAGGCCGGGGCCCAACCCCGGGACUGCUCUGGAAACUAUUGAACUUGAGUGCAGGGGAGGUAAGCGGAAUUCCUAGUGUAGCGGGGAAAUGCGUAGAUAUUAGGAGGAACACCAGUGGCGAAGGCGGCUUACUGGACUGUAACUGACGUUGAGGCUCGAAAGCGUGGGGAGCAAACAGGAUUAGAUACCCUUGUAGUC
RNAcentral lists this ribosomal RNA (443 nucleotides) under uncultured bacterium. Its description in RNAcentral is "partial 16S ribosomal RNA". It matches the Rfam family "Bacterial small subunit ribosomal RNA", at positions 338 to 795 of the family's 1533-position model. The record is from RNAcentral.